This is a long non-coding RNA of Phyllostomus discolor (pale spear-nosed bat), 174 nucleotides long. RefSeq lists it as uncharacterized. The record is from RefSeq and is a predicted model, not a curated record. The transcript has 4 exons. Lineage: Eukaryota; Metazoa; Chordata; Mammalia; Chiroptera; Phyllostomidae.
GCCCGAAGGUUUGGUACAUCUUUGCUUUCCCCUGGGAGGGAGGAGGACAUGAGGGUGGAGUGGAGAGUUGGGCCUGGGGAGGGGAAGGGGACUUUUCUCUGCCGUGCAUUCUGGGAGGGACCGGCUGGGAGGUCAGCAGCCGGGCAGGAGCAGCCAGCAGAGUGCUGAUGUGGC